Molecule: ribosomal RNA, 492 nt
Filed under: uncultured bacterium
Lineage: Bacteria
Description: partial 16S ribosomal RNA
Rfam family: Bacterial small subunit ribosomal RNA
Source: RNAcentral
AGUGAACGCUGGCGGUAGGCCUAACACAUGCAAGUCGAACGGCAGCACAGUAAGAGCUUGCUCUUACGGGUGGCGAGUGGCGGACGGGUGAGGAAUACAUCGGAAUCUACUUUUUCGUGGGGGAUAAUGUAGGGAAACUUACGCUAAUACCGCAUACGACCUACGGGUGAAAGCAGGGGAUCAUCGGACCUUGCGCGAUUGAAUGAGCCGAUGUCGGAUUAGCUAGUUGGCGGGGUAAAGGCCCACCAAGGCGACGAUCCGUAGCUGGUCUGAGAGGAUGAUCAGCCACACUGGAACUGAGACACGGUCCAGACUCCUACGGGAGGCGGCAGUGGGGAAUAUUGGACAAUGGGCGCAAGCCUGAUCCAGCCAUACCGCGUGGGUGAAGAAGGCCUUCGGGUUGUAAAGCCCUUUUGUUGGGAAAGAAAAGCAGCAGGUUAAUACCCCGCUGUUCUGACGGUACCAAAAGAAUAAGCACCGGCUAACUUCGUG